Leptonychotes weddellii (Weddell seal) is the source of this 340-nucleotide non-coding RNA. The record is from RefSeq and is a predicted model, not a curated record. Lineage: Eukaryota; Metazoa; Chordata; Mammalia; Carnivora; Phocidae.
CGCCCACGCAGACAGCCUGGGGGACGUGCUCCUGCUGUGGGAAGCGCGACUGUGGUGCGAGGGUCCUCCUGCUCACCUGCUGUGGCUGUGCCUCCGAACCCCACUGUGCCCACGGUCUCAGGCCGCGCCAGCUCAGGGUUCCAGAAGGUUCAAGUUCCUGUGAGAAAUGAUGCUUCUCUGUGCCUUGCUCCUAGCCGUUGGUUGGCCAUUGGUCAGCAAUCAAAAUAUAUCAACUUGGACCUACAGUUUGAAAUGCCAUGAUUGUUCGGUCAUCAACACCUUCAACUGUCCAACUAUACGGGUAUGUCCCUAUGAAGUCAGGCGCUGUCUGAUAGUCUCU